This 288-nucleotide small nuclear RNA is filed under the name Castor canadensis (American beaver). Its description in RNAcentral is "7SK RNA (ENSCCNG00000000348.1)". It matches the Rfam family "7SK RNA", at positions 1 to 292 of the family's 331-position model. From Rfam's summary of the family: 7SK was discovered as an abundant small nuclear RNA in the mid-70s but a possible function has only recently been suggested. The record is from Rfam by way of RNAcentral. Lineage: Eukaryota; Metazoa; Chordata; Mammalia; Rodentia; Castoridae.
GAAUGAUGGAGGACAUCAGGGCCAUCUGUCACCCCAUUGAUGGCCAGGGUUGAUUCAGCUGAUCUGGCUGACUAGGCAGGCAUACCCUUCCUCCCUCAUUACUCCAUGUGCACAGCUGUAUGUUCAUUUGAAGGGGAUAACCUCCCCCAAUAGAGGAGGACCAUUCUUCCAUCAAGGGUAGGUGAGUAGCUAGGAUCCUCUCCUAGACCUCCCAAGCUCUCAAGGAUGACGGAGGUGGCAUCUGAAUUGGAUACUGAAGGAGAGUAAGAUCCCGAGAAAUGACACUUU